This 292-nucleotide ribosomal RNA is filed under the name uncultured bacterium. RNAcentral's name for it is "partial 16S ribosomal RNA". It matches the Rfam family "Bacterial small subunit ribosomal RNA", at positions 505 to 796 of the family's 1533-position model. The record is from RNAcentral.
GUGUCAGCAGCCGCGGUAAUACGUAGGGUGCGAGCGUUAAUCGGAAUUACUGGGCGUAAAGCGUGCGUAGGCGGUCCGCGAAGUCUGAUGUGAAAGCCCCGGGCUCAACCUGGGAACUGCAUUGGAAACUAACGGGCUCGAGUGUGGCAGAGGGGGGUGGAAUUCCACGUGUAGCAGUGAAAUGCGUAGAGAUGUGGAGGAACACCGAUGGCGAAGGCAGCCCCCUGGGCUAACACUGACGCUCAGGCACGAAAGCGUGGGGAGCAAACAGGAUUAGAUACCCUUGUAGUCC